UUGUUGUGGGUAACGGCUACCAAGGCAACGAUCAGUAGCCGACUUGAGAGAGUGAUCGGCCACAUUGGGACUGAGACACGGCCCAAACUCCUACGGGAGGCAGCAGUAGGGAAUAUUGCACAAUGGGGGAAACCCUGAUGCAGCGACGCCGCGUGAAGGAAGAAGUAUUUCGGUAUGUAAACUUCUAUCAGCAAGGAAGAAAAUGACGGUACUUGACUAAGAAGCCCCGGCUAAAUAC
RNAcentral lists this ribosomal RNA (238 nucleotides) under uncultured bacterium. RNAcentral describes it as "partial 16S ribosomal RNA". It matches the Rfam family "Bacterial small subunit ribosomal RNA", at positions 246 to 504 of the family's 1533-position model. The record is from RNAcentral.